This 255-nucleotide long non-coding RNA is filed under the name Fukomys damarensis (Damara mole-rat). RNAcentral describes it as "lncRNA (ENSFDAG00000027525.1)". The record is from RNAcentral. Lineage: Eukaryota; Metazoa; Chordata; Mammalia; Rodentia; Bathyergidae.
CCAGCUGUUUGUGAUGAAAUGUGCAUGCCAAUACAGCAUGAGACAGCCAACCAGAUGAUACGGACACUGUUUCAAGGUGCUCAACAACUCAAGUUUAAAGACCAGAACUAGAAAAGUAACUGGGCUAAGAAAACAGCCAAUAUUUUGGCACUUUGCCUUCAAGGUCUACAAACAACCCAGGACAUGGUAGAACAGUUUCUACAAGAUCCUAUAACUUUGGUAAGUCACCCAACCUCCUAAAUAAGAAGUUUAUUG